GGGGGUGUAACUCAAUGGUAGAGUGUGUGCUUUGCACGUACAAAGUUGUCGGUUCGAUUCCGACCAUCUCCA
The sequence is a transfer RNA, 72 nucleotides long. It matches the Rfam family "tRNA". From Rfam's summary of the family: Transfer RNA (tRNA) molecules are approximately 80 nucleotides in length. The record is from Rfam.